This 815-nucleotide long non-coding RNA is filed under the name Lonchura striata (white-rumped munia). RNAcentral describes it as "domestica (Bengalese finch) lncRNA (ENSLSDG00000014147.1)". Lineage: Eukaryota; Metazoa; Chordata; Aves; Passeriformes; Estrildidae. The record is from RNAcentral.
CUGUGAGGAGGGGAACUCGUGGUGCCUGUGGCAGGCUUUGCCUUGUGCUGGGUUCUGCCUCCUCAGGUCAGGCUGCAGCUGAGCAGGACCCUGGUCCCCCCAGUCAUGGGACCCCAACAGGCACUUGUGGCACUGAGCUUGGCUAUGUGUUGUGAGCCAUUUCUCCCACUUGCAGUCUGGUCACUGCAGGCCUGAAGGACAUACUCGAAAAUGAGCCAAAAUACCCUCUUCUGAACAGAAAUACACUAGAGCUGGUUCAGCUUGGGGAACAGGAGCUAUGGCACAGGGCGCUCACGAGUGUGAGGUGUAGAUGCUUUCAGGGAAGAUGAGAGUUGGGCCCUUUGGCUGUGAGUGGUUGGGUUUGAAUACAGCCUCUGGGAUCACAUCUCAGAAGGCCUGAAUUCAGUUCUCAUUUUUCCAGGGAUGGGGAAAUUCAACAUUGUCUAUCUCCUCUUUCCUCUUCAGACAGCAAUAGACACUUGAAUGGAGACUCCUCAUGUUUACAGCCUGGUCACACAAGCGACUGAGACCCGAAAUCUCUCAUUCAUGCUAUACCUGCUUCCUUCUGCUCAUGGAGCCUUCUAUUCUGCACAGGACACUGGAAAAGUACUUGGAGAGGGUGGAGAAGGAAGGGAGCUUCCUGGAAAAUGGUCUCUAAACGAAGCCCUUCCCUGUGCCGUGGCUUUUCUGGGGCUCAUUAAUAUCAGUGGUUCCUGCUGGAGGAAUUCUGUCACCUUCCCCAAGGCAGCAGAUCUGAGGCCAGACAUGGCUUUCAGGGAAGAGACCACAGUCCUUAUCAGGGAUCGGAGGAUGGA